UUGGAGUUGGCCCUUGUCUAUGUUCCUUGGAACAGGACGUCACAGAGGGUGAGAAUCCCGUGCGAUGAGGUGUCCAAUUCUAUGUAAAGUGCUUUCGAAGAGUCGAGUUGUUUGGGAAUGCAGCUCUAAGUGGGUGGUAAAUUCCAUCUAAAGCUAAAUAUUGGCGAGAGACCGAUAGCGAACAAGUACAGUGAUGGAAAGAUGAAAAGAACUUUGAAAAGAGAGUGAAAAAGUACGUGAAAUUGUUGAAAGGGAAGGGCUUGAGAUCAGACUCGGUAUUUUGCAAGCCUAUCCUUCGUGGAGAGGUUUAUUAGCAGCUUACCGGGCCAGCAUCGGUUUGGAUGGUAGGAUAAUGGCAUUGGAAUGUGGCUCCUCGGAGUGUUAUAGCCUUUGUUGAUACUGCCUAUCUAGACCGAGGACUGCGUCUUUGACUAGGAUGCUGGCGUAAUGAUCUUAAGCCGCC
The sequence is a ribosomal RNA, 463 nucleotides long. It matches the Rfam family "Eukaryotic large subunit ribosomal RNA", at positions 164 to 649 of the family's 3401-position model.